RNAcentral lists this long non-coding RNA (610 nucleotides) under Corvus moneduloides (New Caledonian crow). Its description in RNAcentral is "lncRNA (ENSCMUG00000012089.2)". The record is from RNAcentral. Lineage: Eukaryota; Metazoa; Chordata; Aves; Passeriformes; Corvidae.
GAGAGACUACUGAUCGCUCUUCGUGCUGCUCCUAAAAUCAGCUCUAUUAGGAGUUAGAAAUACCAGCAUUCUUCCAAAGAAGCUUAUUUUUAUUAUAUUCCCAGCCUAAUACUGGAAACCAAAGAGCUUUAGAAUAGAACUGGCUGCAACUCUAGCAUUUCCCUUGAAAGAAAGCAGUGUCAGAGCAUCAAGAGAGAGAAGCUCCCGCUGGGAAGAUGUUGCCGAUCCUGCAGUCAUCCUGCUCUGCAGCCUCUCUUGUUUGGGCAGAAGCUAAUGGAGAAUCGUCAAAAAUGGUGUUUCUGAGUUCUCGCUGCUGUGAUGUGGAUGUGAAGAAAGUCAGGACACUGCAAAAGUAGAUCAGAUCAGGCAAUGAGUUCUCCCCAGCUCAUCUCACAAUCCUGGACUUCCUUUGAGUACAAAUCCAGCACCUUUCACCAGCAAUAAAAAUCACACAUUUUUCUACUUUAGCUUAGUUUUGAAAAAAAAAAAAAAAAAUCAAAAAAGCACAAAAUAAACUCUCCCUGGCAGAAUCCACCAGCUGUCCUGUAACUGCAUUUCAUUGUGAAACAGCUUUUCCUCAUCAGAGCUGUGCCCUGGAUGCCAUUUCUGG